GGGUUGUGAGGUUAAGCGACUAAGCGUACACGGUGGAUGCCCUGGCAGUCAGAGGCGAUGAAGGACGUGCUAAUCUGCGAUAAGCGCCGGUAAGGUGAUAUGAACCGUUAUAACCGGCGAUUUCCGAAUGGGGAAACCCAGUGUGAUUCGUCACACUAUCAUUAACUGAAUCCAUAGGUUAAUGAGGCGAACCGGGGGAACUGAAACAUCUAAGUACCCCGAGGAAAAGAAAUCAACCGAGAUUCCCCCAGUAGCGGCGAGCGAACGGGGAGGAGCCCAGAGCCUGAAUCAGCAUGUGUGUUAGUGGAAGCGUCUGGAAAGGUGCGCGAUACAGGGUGACAGCCCCGUACACAAAAGCGCAUGUGCUGUGAGCUCGAUGAGUAGGGCGGGACACGUGGUAUCCUGUCUGAAUAUGGGGGGACCAUCCUCCAAGGCUAAAUACUCCUGACUGACCGAUAGUGAACCAGUACCGUGAGGGAAAGGCGAAAAGAACCCCGGCGAGGGGAGUGAAAAAGAACCUGAAACCGUGUACGUACAAGCAGUGGGAGCCCCACCACCAAAGCAUUCUCUGGUGUUGAAGGCCCUGCAAAGCAGCAUCGCGGUGGCGGAGCGUCGUUUGCGACGCCCAACACACAAAACAAGCGGUGAAUGCUUUGGGGUGGGGUGACUGCGUACCUUUUGUAUAAUGGGUCAGCGACUUAUAUUCUGUAGCAAGGUUAACCGAAUAGGGGAGCCGGAGGGAAACCGAGUCUUAAUUGGGCGUUAAGUUGCAGGGUAUAGACCCGAAACCCGGUGAUCUAGCCAUGGGCAGGUUGAAGGUUGGGUAACACUAACUGGAGGACCGAACCGACUAAUGUUGAAAAAUUAGCGGAUGACCUGUGGCUGGGGGUGAAAGGCCAAUCAAACCGGGAGAUAGCUGGUUCUCCCCGAAAGCUAUUUAGGUAGCGCCUCGUGAAUUCAUCUCCGGGGGUAGAGCACUGUUUCGGCUAGGGGGCCAUCCCGGCUUACCAACCCGAUGCAAACUGCGAAUACCGGAGAAUGUUAUCACGGGAGACACACGGCGGGUGCUAACGUCCGUCGUGAAGAGGGAAACAACCCAGACCGCCAGCUAAGGUCCCAAAGUCAUGGUUAAGUGGGAAACGAUGUGGGAAGGCCCAGACAGCCAGGAUGUUGGCUUAGAAGCAGCCAUCAUUUAAAGAAAGCGUAAUAGCUCACUGGUCGAGUCGGCCUGCGCGGAAGAUGUAACGGGGCUAAACCAUGCACCGAAGCUGCGGCAGCGAACGUAUCACUUAAAGCGAUUCAGCGGGUUACGAUUGACGGAGCGAAGCGACGUCAAAGCGUAUACAAAGUCGAGUCGGUUUAAGGAUACGUUCGUUGGGUAGGGGAGCGUUCUGUAAGCCCGUGAAGGUGGCCUGUGAGGGUUGCUGGAGGUAUCAGAAGUGCGAAUGCUGACAUAAGUAACGAUAAAGCGGGUGAAAAGCCCGCUCGCCGGAAGACCAAGGGUUCCUGUCCAACGUUAAUCGGGGCAGGGUGAGUCGACCCCUAAGGCGAGGCCGAAAGGCGUAGUCGAUGGGAAACGGGUUAAUAUUCCCGUACUUGGUGUUACUGCGAAGGGGGGACGGAGAAGGCUAUGUUGGCCGGGCGACGGUUGUCCCGGUUUAAGCGUGUAGGUGUGUGUUCCAGGUAAAUCCGGUUCACUUUAACACUGAGGCGUGAUGACGAGGCACUACGGUGCUGAAGCAACAAAUGCCCUGCUUCCAGGAAAAGCCUCUAAGCAUCAGGUAACAUCAAAUCGUACCCCAAACCGACACAGGUGGUCAGGUAGAGAAUACCAAGGCGCUUGAGAGAACUCGGGUGAAGGAACUAGGCAAAAUGGUGCCGUAACUUCGGGAGAAGGCACGCUGACACGUAGGUGAAGUGAUUUACUCACGGAGCUGAAGUCAGUCGAAGAUACCAGCUGGCUGCAACUGUUUAUUAAAAACACAGCACUGUGCAAACACGAAAGUGGACGUAUACGGUGUGACGCCUGCCCGGUGCCGGAAGGUUAAUUGAUGGGGUCAGCGCAAGCGAAGCUCCUGAUCGAAGCCCCGGUAAACGGCGGCCGUAACUAUAACGGUCCUAAGGUAGCGAAAUUCCUUGUCGGGUAAGUUCCGACCUGCACGAAUGGCGUAAUGAUGGCCAGGCUGUCUCCACCCGAGACUCAGUGAAAUUGAACUCGCUGUGAAGAUGCAGUGUACCCGCGGCAAGACGGAAAGACCCCGUGAACCUUUACUAUAGCUUGACACUGAACAUUGAGCCUUGAUGUGUAGGAUAGGUGGGAGGCUUUGAAGUGUGGACGCCAGUCUGCAUGGAGCCGACCUUGAAAUACCACCCUUUAAUGUUUGAUGUUCUAACGUGGACCCGUAAUCCGGGUUGCGGACAGUGUCUGGUGGGUAGUUUGACUGGGGCGGUCUCCUCCUAAAGAGUAACGGAGGAGCACGAAGGUUGGCUAAUCCUGGUCGGACAUCAGGAGGUUAGUGCAAUGGCAUAAGCCAGCUUGACUGCGAGCGUGACGGCGCGAGCAGGUGCGAAAGCAGGUCAUAGUGAUCCGGUGGUUCUGAAUGGAAGGGCCAUCGCUCAACGGAUAAAAGGUACUCCGGGGAUAACAGGCUGAUACCGCCCAAGAGUUCAUAUCGACGGCGGUGUUUGGCACCUCGAUGUCGGCUCAUCACAUCCUGGGGCUGAAGUAGGUCCCAAGGGUAUGGCUGUUCGCCAUUUAAAGUGGUACGCGAGCUGGGUUUAGAACGUCGUGAGACAGUUCGGUCCCUAUCUGCCGUGGGCGCUGGAGAACUGAGGGGGGCUGCUCCUAGUACGAGAGGACCGGAGUGGACGCAUCACUGGUGUUCGGGUUGUCAUGCCAAUGGCACUGCCCGGUAGCUAAAUGCGGAAGAGAUAAGUGCUGAAAGCAUCUAAGCACGAAACUUGCCCCGAGAUGAGUUCUCCCUGAGACUUAGAGUCUCCUGAAGGAACGUUGAAGACGACGACGUUGAUAGGCCGGGUGUGUAAGCGCAGCGAUGCGUUGAGCUAACCGGUACUAAUGAACCGUGAGGCUUAACCUUACAACGCCGAAG
This 3110-nucleotide ribosomal RNA is filed under the name Salmonella enterica subsp. enterica serovar 4,[5],12:i:-. RNAcentral's name for it is "23S ribosomal RNA". It matches the Rfam family "Bacterial large subunit ribosomal RNA". The record is from RNAcentral. Lineage: Bacteria; Pseudomonadati; Pseudomonadota; Gammaproteobacteria; Enterobacterales; Enterobacteriaceae.